CUAAAUUCUUCGAACUUCCUCCUUGAACUUUAAGGCUUAAAGGGAUUUGUUUUCUGUAUUAGCUGUCUGAUGGCUGUAAUUGGGUUUUACUUAACCUCUGAACAUCCUAAUCUGAAGCUUCUUCUAGACCCGAACUUCCAGUUACCAACUCAUUUAUUCAUUUCACUCUUUUUCAGAACCCAUGAACCAGAAGCUACUUGUCAUCAUUCACUAAACAAAUCGUUAUUGAGCACUGUACCUUGAGCUAGCGCGCGACUAGUAGGAUGGGGGGCGGGGGGAGGAGAUAAAAAGACGAUUAAGACAUGGCGGCUGCCCUCAAAACUCACAAGGAUGAGAGACACGAGCUGGAAGGGUCCUUGGAGAGCAUCGAGCCCAGCUCUCUCCUCUUACCAAUAAGGAUAUAGGCCUAGAGGCUGCCUCUGCUUCUGUUCUUUUCUCCCCUGUCCAUUCUCCACACUGUAUUUGGCAUCACAUCACUCCCUGCUUAUCACACUUCCCUCGGGUGAACGACUGACCACAAGAUCAAGUCACGACUUCUUAAUUCAAGCCCAUCCCAGUCUGUUCAGCCUUCAGAGCCAAGUGCAAAUGCCACCUCUUCAAUCAUGCUUUUCCUGGCUGCCCCAGCUUCUUUCUCACCUUGGGCAGGAUCAUCCCUGUUCUGCAAUGAGGCCCCUAUUUGGAGGAGCCUCAUUGCAAAAGGACCUGCCAGGAGGGGGCAGUGCAGAACCGAAGAAAGGUCUCCCAAAAGGUCAAGGUCAUCAGGGUGCCUGGGGCCCAUCACAAGCCAUUUGGUGCACACCCCUUAAUCUCCAGUGAGGAUGCUUGUGGGAAUAUGGGGUUCCACCCCAGUGUCAUGACCUUUGGCAAGCCUCACCUCUCCCUGAGCCUUAGUUUGCAUCUUUGUAAAACCAGAGAAUUGGACCAGUUCAGAGUUUCUGGAAGUAUGGUGAUGCACAAAGUGACAUCA
Long non-coding RNA from Pteropus alecto (black flying fox), 967 nucleotides. RefSeq lists it as uncharacterized. The record is from RefSeq and is a predicted model, not a curated record. Lineage: Eukaryota; Metazoa; Chordata; Mammalia; Chiroptera; Pteropodidae. The transcript is spliced from 3 exons.